Molecule: non-coding RNA, 32 nt
Filed under: Mus musculus (house mouse)
Lineage: Eukaryota; Metazoa; Chordata; Mammalia; Rodentia; Muridae
Source: RNAcentral
UGCCCAGAGGUGUUCUGCACCACAGCCUGAAG